This 500-nucleotide ribosomal RNA is filed under the name uncultured bacterium. RNAcentral's name for it is "partial 16S ribosomal RNA". It matches the Rfam family "Bacterial small subunit ribosomal RNA", at positions 30 to 523 of the family's 1533-position model. The record is from RNAcentral.
AUUGAACGCUGGCGGCAGGCCUAACACAUGCAAGUCGAGCGGAUGACGGGAGCUUGCUCCUUGAUUCAGCGGCGGACGGGUGAGUAAUGCCUAGGAAUCUGCCUGGUAGUGGGGGACAACGUUUCGAAAGGAACGCUAAUACCGCAUACGUCCUACGGGAGAAAGCAGGGGACCUUCGGGCCUUGCGCUAUCAGAUGAGCCUGAGUCGGAUUAGCUAGUUGGUGGGGUAAUGGCUAACCAAGGCGACGAUCCGUAACUGGUCUGAGAGGAUGAUCAGUCACACUGGAACUGAGACACGGUCCAGACUCCUACGGGAGGCAGCAGUGGGGAAUAUUGGACAAUGGGCGAAAGCCUGAUCCAGCCAUGCCGCGUGUGUGAAGAAGGUCUUCGGAUUGUAAAGCACUUUAAGUUGGGAGGAAGGGCAGUAAGUUAAUACCUUGCUGUUUUGACGUUACCGACAGAAUAAGCACCGGCUAACUCUGUGCCAGCAGCCGCCGUAA